This 222-nucleotide ribosomal RNA is filed under the name uncultured bacterium. RNAcentral describes it as "partial 16S ribosomal RNA". It matches the Rfam family "Bacterial small subunit ribosomal RNA", at positions 524 to 744 of the family's 1533-position model. The record is from RNAcentral.
UACGAAGGGGGCUAGCGUUGCUCGGAAUCACUGGGCGUAAAGCGCACGUAGGCGGCUUUUUAAGUCAGAGGUGAAAUCCUGGAGCUCAACUCCAGAACUGCCUUUGAUACUGGAGAGCUUGAGUCCGGGAGAGGUGAGUGGAACUGCGAGUGUAGAGGUGAAAUUCGUAGAGUAUUCGCAAGAACACCAGUGGCGAAGGCGGCUCACUGGCCCGGUACUGAC